Molecule: ribosomal RNA, 472 nt
Filed under: uncultured bacterium
Lineage: Bacteria
Description: partial 16S ribosomal RNA
Rfam family: Bacterial small subunit ribosomal RNA
Source: RNAcentral
GGACGAACGCUGGCGGCGUGCUUAACACAUGCAAGUCGAACGAUGAAGCCUAGCUUGCUAGGUGGAUUAGUGGCGAACGGGUGAGUAAUACGUGAGUAACCUACCUUUAACUCUGGGAUAAGCCUGGGAAACUGGGUCUAAUACCGGAUACGACCAAUCUCCGCAUGGGGUGUUGGUGGAAAGCGUUAUGUAGUGGUUAUAGAUGGGCUCACGGCCUAUCAGCUUGUUGGUGAGGUAACGGCUCACCAAGGCGACGACGGGUAGCCGGCCUGAGAGGGUGACCGGCCACACUGGGACUGAGACACGGCCCAGACUCCUACGGGAGGCAGCAGUGGGGAAUAUUGCACAAUGGGCGCAAGCCUGAUGCAGCGACGCCGCGUGAGGGAUGACGGCCUUCGGGUUGUAAACCUCUGUUAGCAGGGAAGAAGAGAAAUUGACGGUACCUGCAGAGAAAGCGCCGGCUAACUACGUG